This 505-nucleotide ribosomal RNA is filed under the name uncultured bacterium. RNAcentral describes it as "partial 16S ribosomal RNA". It matches the Rfam family "Bacterial small subunit ribosomal RNA", at positions 30 to 523 of the family's 1533-position model. The record is from RNAcentral.
AUUGAACGCUGGCGGCACGCCUAACACAUGCAAGUCGAGCGGUAACAUGAACUGUAGCAAUACAGUUUGAUGACGAGCGGCGGACGGGUGAGGAACACGUAGGAACCUGCCCAAGAGAGGGGGACAACCAAGGGAAACUUUGGCUAAUACCGCAUAAUCUCUUAGGAGAUAAGUUGCCCGUAAGGGUAGCGCUUUUGGAGGGGCCUGCGUCCGAUUAGUUAGUUGGUGAGGUAACGGCUCACCAAGACGAUGAUCGGUAACUGGUCUGAGAGGACGACCAGUCACACUGGGACUGAGACACGGCCCAGACUCCUACGGGAGGCAGCAGUGGGGAAUAUUGGACAAUGGGGGGAACCCUGAUCCAGCCAUGCCGCGUGUGUGAAGAAGGCCUUAUGGUUGUAAAGCACUUUAAGCGAGGAGGAGGCUACUCUAGUUAAUACCUAGGGAUAGUGGACGUUACUCGCAGAAUAAGCACCGGCUAACUCUGUGCCAGCCGCCGCCGUAA